AUUUGUACUUUGAACAUGUCCAAGCCUUUUAUUAAGUCGAAGCAGACCGGGAGCCAAAUAUCUGAAAAAGCGGCUCCCGGUCCUUAUUUUUUUUAGAGAACCGGGAGCCGUUUUCCAGGACCAGGAGCCGUUUCCAAAAUUGAUGAAAAUAUGUACCGUAUUCUUUUAAAUUAUUUGUUAAACGUUACCUUUUAUUUAUACAUACGGUAGUUUAAUUUCUAGUUUAAAUUUUGAGCACUCUAAUAUUAAAUCACUCAUACCUUAGAUAAAUCUGUCAUUUGUAGUUGUUGUAGUUCAUGUUUAAUACUAUUUUCAUGCCGUUAAAUGUCAAAAAUUUAAAAAUGUUGGGAAGGGGGGAAUUAAAUUAUUUCUAUAAAAAAAUAUUUAAGAAAAACCAGAUCUAUAAUGACAAUGCAGAGCUUCCAACCUGUCGCUUUCAAAAAAACAUAUUAUUCAGCUUGAAAAAACAUAUUUUAGGUGAAAAAAAAAGAUUAUGCCUGUUUUACGUUUUUGUUAUUUUCCCUAUAAAAUGCUAUUGCAUUCAUGUUUCUUUGAAUAAAAACGCAUUCAAUCAUUGAGAACGGCCGACCUGUCACUU
This is a long non-coding RNA of Strongylocentrotus purpuratus (purple sea urchin), 598 nucleotides long. RefSeq lists it as uncharacterized. The record is from RefSeq and is a predicted model, not a curated record. The transcript has 4 exons. NCBI's taxonomy places the organism in Eukaryota, Metazoa, Echinodermata, Echinoidea, Camarodonta, Strongylocentrotidae.